RNAcentral lists this ribosomal RNA (515 nucleotides) under uncultured bacterium. RNAcentral's name for it is "partial 16S ribosomal RNA". It matches the Rfam family "Bacterial small subunit ribosomal RNA", at positions 28 to 523 of the family's 1533-position model. The record is from RNAcentral.
GAUGAACGCUGGCGGCGUGCCUAAUACAUGCAAGUCGAGCGAAUGGAUUAAGAGCUUGCUCUUAUGAAGUUAGCGGCGGACGGGUGAGUAACACGUGGGUAACCUGCCCAUAAGACUAGGAUAACUCCGGGAAACCGGGGCUAAUACCGGAUAACAUUUUGAACCGCAUGGGUCGAAAUUGAAAGGCUGCUUCGGCUGUCACUUAUGGAUGGACCCGCGUCGCAUUAGCUGGUUGGUGAGGUAACGGCUCAUCAAGGCAACGAUGCGUAGCCGACCUGAGAGGGUGAUCGGCCACACUGGGACUGAGACACGGCCCAGACUCCUACGGGAGGCAGCAGUAGGGAAUCUUCCGCAAUGGACGAAAGUCUGACGGAGCAACGCCGCGUGAGUGAUGAAGGCUUUCGGGUCGUAAAACUCUGUUGUUAGGGAAGAACAAGUGCUAGUUGAAUAAGCUGGCACCUUGACGGUACCUAACCAGAAAGCCACGGCUAACUACGUGCCAGCCGCCGCCGUAA